GAUGAAGAACGUAGCGAAAUGCGAUACGUAAUGUGAAUUGCAGAAUUCAGUGAAUCAUCGAGUCUUUGAACGCACGUUGCGCCCUCUGGUAUUCCGGAGGGCAUGCCUGUCCGAGCGUCAUUGCUGCCCUCAAGCACGGCUUGUGUGUUGGGCUCCGUCCCCCGAUCCCGGGGGACGGGCCCGAAAGGCAGCGGCGGCACCGCGUCCGGUCCUCGAGCGUAUGGGGCUUUGUCACCCGCUCUGUAGGCCCGGCCGGCGCUUGCCGAUCAACCAAAUUUUUAUCCAGGUUGACCUCGGAUCAGGUAGGGAUACCCGCUGAACUUAAGCAUAUCAAUAAGCGGAGGA
RNAcentral lists this unclassified non-coding RNA (345 nucleotides) under soil metagenome. Its description in RNAcentral is "partial contains 5.8S ribosomal RNA, internal transcribed spacer 2, and large subunit ribosomal RNA". The stretch from base 1 to 120 matches the Rfam family "5.8S ribosomal RNA", at positions 35 to 154 of the family's 154-position model. The record is from RNAcentral.